UACAAAUCAAUGCCCUUAUUUUUGAUUUAAUAAAGAACCUAGGAAAGCUGAACAAAUUAAGUGAAACAUAAUCCACGCCACAAAGUUCCUCCCGCUGUCUUCGGAUAAUCGGAACAAGAAAGCAAAUCUUUGACAGAGGUAAAGUUCAAGAACCCCAUGAAAGCAUCAACACGCAUAUGAAGAUGAACGCAGACACCACUCCAUGCCAUAAACUGGCUCACUGGCAGUGCUAUUGGACGGACUCCCUGCUACACUGAUACCCUGCUACCCUGCCUCCAUGCCGCCGAGGAAAAGCCCCUGCCCCAAAGUUUUCCCGGCACUGAGAACGAAAGUGAGUCGUUUCACCUACACAACACAACAAAGCUCGGGUGCCUUCACCCUCAUUUGGACGAACAUUUUUUUUUUUUGGCGCUGCGCAAGAAGUUCAUUGAACUUGGUGGAAAUUCGGAAGAAGUCCAGAGCCAACGACAAGCUACCAACGCCCUAGCCUCACACCCAGAAAUCAUUUCAUUAGUUUCGUUGUGGGUUGAUGCUUCGGCGCUGUAC
Non-coding RNA from Drosophila melanogaster (fruit fly), 546 nucleotides. The record is from Ensembl. NCBI's taxonomy places the organism in Eukaryota, Metazoa, Arthropoda, Insecta, Diptera, Drosophilidae.